UUGUCAACGGGAGACACAAUGUUGCAGUGGUUAGUAAGGCAGCUUAUGACUCAUGCAACACAACUUCUCCUAUCAACACAAUUAGCACUGGUCCUGCUACGAUCACACUCACAAAUUCUGGUGAAAAUUACUACAUGUGCACUUUCCCUAGCCACUGCUCAUUAGGUCAAAAGCUAGCCAUCAACGUCACCGGCACCAGCGCCGCCGCCCCCACGCCUUCUAUCGCCGCUACACCAUCUGGCACCACCGUCCCAUCCGUCCCCUCGAGCGAUUCUCCGGUCACUUCACCACCAUCACCAAGUGCGUCAGCUCCAUCUUUGGUCCUUGCAGCUUUGCCAGUCACUUUCUUGUCACUUGCCUUUGCUAGAUUGUUGAAUUAAGUAGUAUAGUAUUGAUUUUAUGAAAUUCUUUUACUUGUUUUUUUUUCUUUUUUUGUUAUCUUUAUAUAUGGAUCUGACAUUUUUGUUGUACCAAUAAAGCUGAAUUUUUGGAUUCCAGCUAAAAAAAAUUUCUUGUUGAUUUUAAUGUAAUGAAAUUUCAAUCUUCC
This 547-nucleotide long non-coding RNA is filed under the name Nicotiana tabacum (common tobacco). RNAcentral describes it as "long non-coding RNA (NTAB_LNC000663)". The record is from RNAcentral. Lineage: Eukaryota; Viridiplantae; Streptophyta; Magnoliopsida; Solanales; Solanaceae.